GCCGCGGGGUCACCGCGCUCCCGCCGGCCGCUCGGUGCGCGGCAGGGCGCUGGGGGUGUGUCCCCUCUGUCCGGGGUUAGCUGGUGCAGAUCCAUCGAGGUAAAAUUCUGACAAAGGUGAUAUAUGACCCGUAAUGCUGAGAACCUCUGCUCUAUGUCAGAUCUAAAAGAUGUUGACUUUUGCAGCUGUCUCCAGCUUGGACCACCAGCAUCAGUUCCUGCAGAAUCUGAACAUUUCCCUCCAAAUACCAAAUGGCCAGUGCCACCUUGAAUACAAUCACCACUGCACCAGCAAGAGGAAUAAAACUAAAGACACUCUUGUGGUUUAUGAAGACUUUAUCACAUACGUCCAUGAUCACUUCUGCACAUGGAAGUCCAUUUCAUAAGAAACAGCAGUGCCACAUGCGUAGAAUGAAAUGGAGACUGAAGCAGGAAAUGCCCCAUAGAAACUGCAGCUGAGCUGCCAGGAGGUCUUGCACAGCUCAUCUUGGGACAGCCUUGUCAGACAGAGCUUCUGGGGCAGUCAUGAGGAUCCACAGGAGGCUGAGCACCCCCAGCUUGGUGCAGCCCACAGGUGCAUGCCCUGCAGCAGGGAGGCAGGAGGCAGAGAGGACCCCUGCUCCCCAGUUGCUCCUUGCCGGUGUGGAGGAGCUGCCUGGCCCAUGGGUGUUGCAUGGCAUGUUGGAGGCCCCCUUAUGUGGAUGGACAUGGCUCUUAUGACCUGUCCUGCUGCUAUGAAGUCCUGGAGGUGGGGCUGCAUGUUUUCGAACACCAGUGAUGACAGAUUGUUCCAGGCCCCAAAGCUCUGGAAGAACACUUGCUUUUCUAAUCAAUAGUUCAACCGUUACAGUGGACGUCCGUGGGAUUUCCUAAUUUCUUUAAAGCUUCAGCUCCCAACAUCAUACCUGUUUUUCCAAAGCAUAUUGCUACUAAAACAUUUUAUAGCAUGCACUGUCAAAUGCAUAU
This is a long non-coding RNA of Falco peregrinus (peregrine falcon), 965 nucleotides long. RefSeq lists it as uncharacterized. NCBI's taxonomy places the organism in Eukaryota, Metazoa, Chordata, Aves, Falconiformes, Falconidae. The transcript is spliced from 4 exons. The record is from RefSeq and is a predicted model, not a curated record.